This 468-nucleotide ribosomal RNA is filed under the name uncultured bacterium. RNAcentral describes it as "partial 16S ribosomal RNA". It matches the Rfam family "Bacterial small subunit ribosomal RNA", at positions 28 to 507 of the family's 1533-position model. The record is from RNAcentral.
GACGAACGCUGGCGGCGUGCUUAACACAUGCAAGUCGAACGGAAAGGCCCUGCUUUUGUGGGGUGCUCGAGUGGCGAACGGGUGAGUAACACGUGAGUAACCUGCCCUUGACUUUGGGAUAACUUCAGGAAACUGGGGCUAAUACCGGAUAGGAGCUCCUGCUGCAUGGUGGGGGUUAGAAAGUUUCGGCGGUUGGGGAUGGACUCGCGGCUUAUCAGCUUGUUGGUGGGGUAGUGGCUUACCAAGGCUUUGACGGGUAGCCGGCCUGAGAGGGUGACCGGCCACAUUGGGACUGAGAUACGGCCCAGACUCCUACGGGAGGCAGCAGUGGGGAAUAUUGCACAAUGGGCGGAAGCCUGAUGCAGCAACGCCGCGUGCGGGAUGACGGCCUUCGGGUUGUAAACCGCUUUCGCCUGUGACGAGGCGUGAGUGACGGUAAUGGGUAAAGAAGCACCGGCUAACUACGUG